CCCAGCCAAACCACCAGUCAAGCAGAGAAGAGAAGGACAUAUCUAGCAUAACAAAUUGAGUGAUUGGGAUAACGAUUUUUGAGGGGAAAGGAAUGGAGGUGAUGGUGAGGAUUCUCAACAAUAAACCCCCAAACAGGAAGAACCUGCUUUUUAGAAUCUCCGUCCUCUGUAUUCCUCUGAACGGCGUUAAGUGUUCUGCUUGCUGUACACUCCAUUUCGAUUUCUAAGAGACACGGCGCCCAAUGACAACAACAGCAAGACACCCAAUGGAGCAGGUAACUCAGGACACUGUGAAGAAGUCCAGGAACAAGGAUGGGGUGUAGGUUAAGUCAUGUGCUGAUUUGGAUUACCCUGGGAUUAAAAUGAGGGGGGAAGCCACCUUACAUUGUUCACGUGAUGUUGUUCCAAACUUCAAUAAAAAUCAGGUUGCAUUACCUUUCCCAAAUAUCACACUCAGCUCUCAGUAGUCCCCACGUCCCAAAGAGAUGUUUGCAAAGCCGCUAGAUGUCUUGCCUUCUCAUCGAAACAUAGGCAGAAGCCUUCCCUGGCCCCUGGUGACCCAAUGGCCCGAAGGAGAAAUGAGGUGGCUGGAGGAGGUCCCAGCAGAGGAGAGGAUCUCGGACUAGUGCAGGUCAGGGAGGAAAAAAACAAAUGGAUCUCUCCUCGGGGACCUCUGUUCACUCCUCUCAGGCACUGCCCCUGCCUUCUCAGAGAAUGGGAUCUGCUUGUUUGCGAAUCCAAAGCACCAAGUGGGUAGCACAAUGCGAUGUUUGUAAAUAUGAUAAACCAUUACAAUAUUACAGCUUUUCAUUUGGAAAGCCAUUUAGGCAAGAAAUGAUUACUGACCCAUGAUAUGUAAAUGACGGAAAGGCAGACAUUAGUAUUUGGGUCAACUCGUGUAUUUUUCAACCAUGAAAUGAAAAUCUCAGUGUUCACAUUCCAAUUCAUACAUGAAAGCAUCACGGUGCUAUUAGUCGACUAUUGUGUUAAUUUAUUAUUGUCUUAGUUAAUGUUUUCAGAGCCACCACGAAGUUCUGUCUCUACUUUCAUUGCACCAAUGUUGCAACUGAAAGAGGGGAACAUAGUCCUCUGAGCAGGCUGGUUUCCUGAGGGAAUUCUCCUUUAGUUGAGGAGAAACGAAGUGACUCUGAAGGACACGCUGGGGACCUUCUCCCCAAAUAUUUCAAAUACGAGAUCAGUCUAUCACUUCCUUUUCUUUUGAGUUUGCAACACCACAAAUAUGUGUUGAACAAUCAGGGGACCCGUGACAAGUUCCUAGGUGCCAUUGGGGCCACUGAAGAAUCCCCAAAGGACUUUUGUUUCCAAGGUGAAGCAAAUGAGACUCGGUAUGAGAAUAGUGUUAAGAACUCAGGGGGAGAGAAAAUUUAGGGAGGCUUCCCAGAGGAGGUGGAACUCAAGCUGGGUCUGAAGGGCAGUUAGUGUGUUCUAGGGCCAAGGAAGGAGAAAAGCCGUUCCAGGUAGACAGCCAUCGGAAAGCUCCAGAGGAUAGAGUUCCAUGCCAUGUGAGUGGAUGUUCAACCAAGAUGUUCUGCUGAAACAGAAGGUAGAUGGUGAAGAGCCAAAGGUGUAGGAGAUGUCGGGUUACACCAGAAAUUACACGAGGUGGGUCACUGAAAACCAUUCAGAAUGAACCAUCGGAAAACAGCUGGGGCCUCCACAGAUUACAUAGAAAUGCAGCUGGAAGGCCAGCUGGGAGCCAGGACUAGCAAUUUAAGGCUGAGGAAGGAGGGCCUGGAGUGAGGGUGUCUUGCCAUGUGUGUUAGGAGAAAUGGGAAGGAAAGGGUGGUGUGGUAGACCAUGAAUGGAAGGGUGAGGGAUGCAUCUAAAUGCUGCAUGUGGAAAAAUAAAUAAAUAAAUAAAAUAAAUAAAUAAAUAAAUAAAUACUGCAUGCGGAAGAACAGAUUUACUAUCAACCCUUAAAUUCAACGGUUUAAAGAGCAAAAUGAGGAUAGGGUGCAGAAAGUAAGGAAAUGCUGAUGUUUUGCCUUUUAAUCUAAUAAACUGGCUAGAGGGAACUCUCAGUACUUCCAGUGUGCAACUAAAUCUCCUCUUCCUGUAACCUCGCACAUCAUAGCCCCAAGAUUGGGUAGUGCUGAGAUCUUGGGCUCCAUUCAGCCUUGGCCCUUGGAUCUGGGGUGUGCCAACACUGUAAAGACAGGCACUUAGUCAAAUCCUUUGCUUGGGGGUUUCAAGGUCAAAAGAGAUGUCCUGCCUGAGAGGGGAUGUGAGGGCAGGAUAGUUUUGAAUAGGUCGGCUCCACCCAUAGUUCUCAGUGGAGGUAAUACUGCCCCCUACAGAGUGUUUUGGAAACUCCCAGCAGCAUUUUUCAGAUGUUGGAAAACGGGGUGGGAGCCAGGGCUGCGAGAGGUCUGCUGUUCACAGGACAGUCUUACACACUGAAAAAUCAUGCAGCAUCCCACAUGGCUUUUGAAUGUCCUGCCAGGCAUUCCUGUAGGUAAACCUGUUUAUAAUUAUCUAAGCCUAAAACCUAAUUCCAAUUUACAUAUUUUACUGCCCUGUUUAAUACACAUUAAAUUUUCCAUGAAUUUACAACUACCAUGUAUAUUAAGGGAAGAUUAUAUUUUGUUUUGUUCAAAACUUUGCCAAGAAUUGGACACUGAGAAAAUCACGUUGCUGGCAGCAAUGCUGCUGUAUGUGAGUGGCAUUUGUGGCUGUCAUUCCACACAUCGAUGCAAGCAUUUGAUUACUUUUUCAUGCUUUCCAUAUGUACAUGUUUAAAUACACAUUAUUUUAUUACGAAUUACUUUCCUUUUGUUUCUUCUUUAUAUUAUAUUUAGGGUAUUAUAUUAAUUAGAAAAUUGUGUCUACAUAAUACACUGUAUUUAAAAUAUUUAUGCUCUGUGAAUUUUAUUUAAGGAUAGUAAAAGGGGGAGUCAUAAAAUAUUUGUUACAAAAAAGAGAUGUU
Molecule: long non-coding RNA, 2947 nt
Organism: Canis lupus familiaris (dog)
Lineage: Eukaryota; Metazoa; Chordata; Mammalia; Carnivora; Canidae
Exons: 3
Source: RefSeq, a predicted model, not a curated record